CAAUAGCGUAUAUUAAAGUUGUUGCAGUUAAAAAGCUCGUAGUUGGAUUUGUGGCGUACGGUGUGUUCCGGGCACUUGUUGUCUGAGUAACCUGCUGUUGCCAUCCUUGGGUGGAACCUGUGUGGCAUUAGGUUGUCGUGCAGGGGAUGCCCAUCAUUUACUGUGAAAAAAUUAGUGUGUUCAAAGCAGGCUUAUGCCGUUGAAUAUAUUAGCAUGGAAUAAUGAGAUAGGACUUUCUUGCUAUUUUGUUGGUUUGCGCAAAGAGGUAAUGAUUAAUAGGGACAGUUGGGGGUAUUCGUAUUCCAUUGUCAGAGGUGAAAUUCUUGGAUUUUUGGAAGACGAACUACUGCGAAAGCAUUUACCAAGGAUGUUUUCAUUAA
This 380-nucleotide ribosomal RNA is filed under the name uncultured eukaryote. RNAcentral describes it as "partial 18S ribosomal RNA". It matches the Rfam family "Eukaryotic small subunit ribosomal RNA", at positions 592 to 976 of the family's 1831-position model. The record is from RNAcentral.